RNAcentral lists this ribosomal RNA (323 nucleotides) under uncultured Sphingobacteriales bacterium. RNAcentral's name for it is "bacterial SSU rRNA". It matches the Rfam family "Bacterial small subunit ribosomal RNA", at positions 1061 to 1382 of the family's 1533-position model. The record is from RNAcentral. Lineage: Bacteria; Pseudomonadati; Bacteroidota; Sphingobacteriia; Sphingobacteriales.
CGUGCCGUCGAGGGUGUCGGGUUAAGUCCCAUAACGAGCGCAACCCUACCUUUAGUUGCCAUCAGGUAAUGCUGGGGACUCUAAAGGAACUGCCUACGCAAGUAGUGAGGAAGGCGGGGAUGACGUCAAAUCAGCACGGCCCUUACGUCCAGGGCUACACACGUGCUACAAUGGCCGAUACAGAGGGCAGCUACCUGGUGACAGGAUGCAAAUCUCCAAAGUCGGUCUCAGUUCGGAUCGGAGUCUGCAACCCGACUCCGUGAAGUUGGAUUCGCUAGUAAUCGCGCAUCAGCCAUGGCGCGGUGAAUACGUUCCCGGGCCUU